This 901-nucleotide ribosomal RNA is filed under the name uncultured Bacillota bacterium. RNAcentral describes it as "bacterial SSU rRNA". It matches the Rfam family "Bacterial small subunit ribosomal RNA", at positions 18 to 916 of the family's 1533-position model. Lineage: Bacteria; Bacillati; Bacillota. The record is from RNAcentral.
UCUGGCUCAGGAUGAACGCUAGCGGCAGGCUUAACACAUGCAAGUCGAGGGGCAGCGUGGAGUAGCAAUACUCUGACGGCGACCGGCGGAAGGGUGCGUAACACGUGAGCGACUUGCCCGAUACAGGGAGAUAACCGGUGGAAACGCCGACUAAUAUCCCAUACGACUUGAGGCUGCAUGGCCUUGAGUUGAAAGGUUCGCCGGUAUCGGAUAGGCUCGCGGGACAUUAGCUUGAUGGCGGGGCAACGGCCCACCAUGGCGACGAUGUCUAGGGGUUCUGAGAGGAAGACCCCCCACACUGGGACUGAGACACGGCCCAGACUCCUACGGGAGGCAGCAGUGAGGAAUAUUGGUCAAUGGGCGGAAGCCUGAACCAGCCAUGCCGCGUGAAGGACUAAGGCCCUAUGGGUCGCAAACUUCUUUAGACGCAGAGCAAUAAGGGCCUCGCGAGGUCCGAUGAGAGUAUGCGUAGAAUAAGCAUCGGCUAACUCCGUGCCAGCAGCCGCGGUAAUACGGGGGAUGCGAGCGUUAUCCGGAUUUAUUGGGUUUAAAGGGUGCGUAGGCGGCGAAUUAAGUCAGCGGUGAAAGACCGGGGCUCAACCCUGGAAGUGCCGUUGAUACUGAUUGGCUAGAAUACCCUUGCCGUGGGAGGAAUGAGUGGUGUAGCGGUGAAAUGCAUAGAUAUCACUCAGAACACCGAUUGCGAAGGCAUCUCACGAAGGGGCGAUUGACGCUGAGGCACGAAAGCGUGGGGAUCGAACAGGAUUAGAUACCCUGGUAGUCCACGCAGUAAACGAUGAUGGCUAACUGUCGGGCCUGCGGGUUCGGCGGCCAAGCGAAAGCGAUAAGCCAUCCACCUGGGGAGUACGACCGCAAGGUUGCAACUCAAAGGAAUUGACGG